This 407-nucleotide ribosomal RNA is filed under the name uncultured Nocardioidaceae bacterium. Its description in RNAcentral is "bacterial SSU rRNA". It matches the Rfam family "Bacterial small subunit ribosomal RNA", at positions 355 to 774 of the family's 1533-position model. The record is from RNAcentral. Lineage: Bacteria; Bacillati; Actinomycetota; Actinomycetes; Propionibacteriales; Nocardioidaceae.
UGGGGAAUAUUGGACAAUGGGCGAAAGCCUGAUCCAGCAACGCCGCGUGAGGGAUGAAUGCCUUCGGGUUGUAAACCUCUUUCGGUGGGGACGAAGCGAAAGUGACGGUACCCACUAAAGAAGCACCGGCCAACUACGUGCCAGCAGCCGCGGUAAUACGUAGGGUGCGAGCGUUGUCCGGAAUUAUUGGGCGUAAAGGGCUCGUAGGCGGUUUGUCACGUCGGGAGUGAAAACUCAGGGCUUAACUCUGAGCUUGCUUCCGAUACGGGCAGACUAGAGGUAUGCAGGGGAGAACGGAAUUCCUGGUGUAGCGGUGAAAUGCGCAGAUAUCAGGAGGAACACCGGUGGCGAAGGCGGUUCUCUGGGCAUUACCUGACGCUGAGGAGCGAAAGUGUGGGGAGCGAACA